AUUGAACGCUGGCGGUAGGCCUAACACAUGCAAGUCGAACGGCAGCACAGGAGAGCUUGCUCUCUGGGUGGCGAGUGGCGGACGGGUGAGGAAUACAUCGGAAUCUACUUUUUCGUGGGGGAUAACGUAGGGAAACUUACGCUAAUACCGCAUACGACCUACGGGUGAAAGCAGGGGACCUUCGGGCCUUGCGCGAUUGAAUGAGCCGAUGUCGGAUUAGCUAGUUGGCGGGGUAAAGGCCCACCAAGGCGUCGAUCCGUAGCUGGUCUGAGAGGAUGAUCAGCCACACUGGAACUGAGACACGGUCCAGACUCCUACGGGAGGCAGCAGUGGGGAAUAUUGGACAAUGGGCGCAAGCCUGAUCCAGCCAUACCGCGUGGGUGAAGAAGGCCUUCGGGUUGUAAAGCCCUUUUGUUGGGAAAGAAAUCCAGCUGGCUAAUACCCGGUUGGGAUGACGGUACCCAAAGAAUAAGCACCGGCUAACUUCGUGCCAGCAGCCGCCGUAA
RNAcentral lists this ribosomal RNA (506 nucleotides) under uncultured bacterium. RNAcentral's name for it is "partial 16S ribosomal RNA". It matches the Rfam family "Bacterial small subunit ribosomal RNA", at positions 30 to 523 of the family's 1533-position model. The record is from RNAcentral.